UCGAACGAUGAAGCCCAGCUUGCUGGGUGGAUUAGUGGCGAACGGGUGAGUAACACGUGAGUAACCUGCCCUUAACUCUGGGAUAAGCCUGGGAAACUGGGUCUAAUACCGGAUAGGAGCGYCYACCGCAUGGUGGGUGUUGGAAAGAUUUAUCGGUUUUGGAUGGACUCGCGGCCUAUCAGCUUGUUGGUGAGGUAAUGGCUCACCAAGGCGACGACGGGUAGCCGGCCUGAGAGGGUGACCGGCCACACUGGGACUGAGACACGGCCCAGACUCCUACGGGAGGCAGCAGUGGGGAAUAUUGCACAAUGGGCGMAAGCCUGAUGCAGCGACGCCGCGUGAGGGAUGACGGCCUUCGGGUUGUAAACCUCUUUCAGUAGGGAAGAAGCGAAAGUGACGGUACCUGCAGAAGAAGCACCGGCUAACUACGUGCCAGCAGCCGCGGUAAUACGUAGGGUGCGAGCGUUAUCCGGAAUUAUUGGGCGUAAAGAGCUCGUAGGCGGUUUGUCGCGUCUGUCGUGAAAGUCCGGGGCUUAACCCCGGAUCUGCGGUGGGUACGGGCAGACUAGAGUGCAGUAGGGGAGACUGGAAUUCCUGGUGUAGCGGUGGAAUGCGCAGAUAUCAGGAGGAACACCGAUGGCGAAGGCAGGUCUCUGGGCUGUAACUGACGCUGAGGAGCGAAAGCAUGGGGAGCGAACAGGAUUAGAUACCCUGGUAGUCCAUGCCGUAAACGUUGGGCACUAGGUGUGGGGACCAUUCCACGGUUUCCGCGCCGCAGCUAACGCAUUAAGUGCCCCGCCUGGGGAGUACGGCCGCAAGGCUAAAACUCAAAGGAAUUGACGGGGGCCCGCACAAGCGGCGGAGCAUGCGGAUUAAUUCGAUGCAACGCGAAGAACCUUACCAAGGCUUGACAUGUUCUCGAUCGCCGUAGAGAUACGGUUUCCCCUUUGGGGCGGGUUCACAGGUGGUGCAUGGUUGUCGUCAGCUCGUGUCGUGAGAUGUUGGGUUAAGUCCCGCAACGAGCGCAACCCUCGUUCCAUGUUGCCAGCACGUAAUGGUGGGGACUCAUGGGAGACUGCCGGGGUCAACUCGGAGGAAGGUGAGGACGACGUCAAAUCAUCAUGCCCCUUAUGUCUUGGGCUUCACGCAUGCUACAAUGGCCGGUACAAUGGGUUGCGAUACUGUGAGGUGGAGCUAAUCCCAAAAAGCCGGUCUCAGUUCGGAUUGGGGUCUGCAACUCGACCCCAUGAAGUCGKAGUCGCUAGUAAUCGCAGAUCA
This 1278-nucleotide ribosomal RNA is filed under the name Micrococcus sp. Its description in RNAcentral is "bacterial SSU rRNA". It matches the Rfam family "Bacterial small subunit ribosomal RNA", at positions 62 to 1351 of the family's 1533-position model. The record is from RNAcentral. Lineage: Bacteria; Bacillati; Actinomycetota; Actinomycetes; Micrococcales; Micrococcaceae.